Coregonus clupeaformis (lake whitefish) is the source of this 447-nucleotide long non-coding RNA. RefSeq lists it as uncharacterized. The transcript has 3 exons. The record is from RefSeq and is a predicted model, not a curated record. Lineage: Eukaryota; Metazoa; Chordata; Actinopteri; Salmoniformes; Salmonidae.
GCAGCUCAGUCACAGCAGAUACCGGCCGCUCAAUCACGUACACCUGUCCAAGAGGUAGCAAGGCUCUUUGCGCCAUAUAACAUUGGAGCCAGAAGGAAUAUGACGAGACGACCAGCACAAGUCCAAGUUAGCCGAAGAAGCUACACACACACUGUCUGUUGUUUGGCUGACCACAAUGCGGAUAAAAUUCCAAGCGUACUGUUUAAAGCUGAACUCUUACUUCAGGACUUGGAGAGCAAAAAGUAACAUUUUCAGGGAAUGACCACGAUCCCAUGGUUAUAACAAAUAAACUGAUGGAAGUGUUUCCGAAGCUCCAACAAGGGGGAGGCCUUACAAUAUCGUUGCAAUAUCGACAUCAAGGUGUUAGGUCAAAAAUGUGAUAUUUGAUUUUCUCCAUAUUGCCCAGCCCUAAUGUCAAUGCAUACACAGUUCAGAUGAAUUGACACA